Gossypium arboreum is the source of this 716-nucleotide long non-coding RNA. RefSeq lists it as uncharacterized. The transcript is spliced from 3 exons. Lineage: Eukaryota; Viridiplantae; Streptophyta; Magnoliopsida; Malvales; Malvaceae. The record is from RefSeq and is a predicted model, not a curated record.
GACAAAAUGUACACUUGAUAUCCAUAAUUUAUGGUACAAAUUGAUACAAAUUGAUAAUAGGUUAGGUAAAUGUUUCAUGAUAAUAGGUUAGAUAAAUGUUCCAUGAUAAUAGGUUAGGUAAAUGUUCCAUGAUAAUGGGUUAGGUAAAUGUUUCAUGAUAAUGGGUUAGGUAAAUGUUUCAUGAUAAGAAUUUCAUGUCUUUUUGUAUUAAAGAAUUAAAUGGAUGAAAUAUGAAGUUUUAUUAAAAGAAAAAGGGGUGAAAAGAACAAAGUUUUGUCCAUCUUUGUUCAUCAUAGCUGAAAGUUAGAGAAGAGAAAGGAGAGGAGAAAGCUCUUGAGUAUUCGGUCAUUAGAAGGAGGAAAAUUGAAGGCGGUUCGUGUGUGGAUCUCGUCAGCAUAUCGUCGCAAACAGGAAAUCCCCAACCAUAGUGGGCUUGGAGCUGUGAGGGAAUUCGGAGUGGCCACCCGUUCUGAAAGUUUGAUUUUCUUCUGGUGAAUUGGACAUCCUUUUAAUUACGUUUGAGGUUUUGGGCUUUUAAAUGUAAUAAGGCCGCUUAAUUAUUUUUAAUGGUUUUAAUAAGUAUUACUAAGAUAGGUAAUACUUAUUUUAACUGUUGAAAUUAGAUAGCUUUAGGGCAAGUUUUCAAAAACAACAGUUGAUUUCAAAAUAACACGACAACAAGCAAAGCUUCCGCAAUGAAAGUAUUUUUUCCAAAA